UUAUAUAUUUUAUAAUUAUAUUAAUAUUGUUUUAAGUGAGACGCAAGAGUUGAAAUUAUUUUAAUCCAAUAUGGCAACCAUUUUAGCGACCACUUUAUAUGAUUGUUGUUUUUGUAAAUAAACUGGAGGAGCUAUGGUCGUUUUAUUUAUUUUGUAGACCACUGCCUAUUUUUUUCAAUUUUUUAUGGCAGCUGCACCACCCUAAAUCCCUAAGUCCCAAAUUUCAAAUCGAAGUGUGACAUUUCAGCCAGUUUCAUAGAAGCUCCGCCACCCUCCCCUGCUGUUCUCCGGUUAAUGCCACCCUCCACCGCUGUUCUCCGGUUAACGUCUCAUUUUUUUCGGUUGUUUAUGUUUUUUAUUACUUUUUGUGUUGACAAUUUUGUGGUUGUUUUGCUCUGAUAAUAUGGAAAGGUGAUUUUGGGUUUAAAUUUCAGUAACUAUUAUGUUUUGCUUUGUUUUAUAUUUUUGCAUGUAAGGCCUUUUUUUUUUCUGUAAGAAUUGAUCUAGACUACUGGACUCUGACUAUUAUGAUUGGAGGAACUUCAGGAUUUGUAUAUUUGGACUUCUUUUUUAUCUUUUAACUCCAUUUUCUAUCAUGUGUAAAGGAAAGUCUUGUAUUUGCUUUUGUCUUUUAUGUUCUCUUUCCAUUUUCUGCCAAAAAUGGCAUGAGGGGUCUUAUUGGCCAUUGCUGAAUCAAAAGCUCCCAAUUUAAGAAAUUGGUCCCAAUUGAGAGCUUUAAUAAAAUGAAAAACACUUUGGCAAGAUUAUGGUCAAUAGUAUAAUUUCAAAAUCAUUAGUUAUAAAUCACAGCCAAGCAUGAAAUGCCAAUCUUGUCUAAUUUCUUUACUGUUUAUUUUUCCUUUAUUAGAAAAUUAACCUUUUUAUUUUGAAC
RNAcentral lists this long non-coding RNA (892 nucleotides) under Ricinus communis (castor bean). RNAcentral describes it as "long non-coding RNA (RCOM_LNC003332)". Lineage: Eukaryota; Viridiplantae; Streptophyta; Magnoliopsida; Malpighiales; Euphorbiaceae. The record is from RNAcentral.